GACGAACGCUGGCGGCGUGCUUAACACAUGCAAGUCGAACGGAAAGGCCCUGCUCUUGUGGGGUGCUCGAGUGGCGAACGGGUGAGUAACACGCGUGUAUCCUGCCCUUGACUUUGGGAUAACUUCAGGAAACUGGGGCUAAUACCGGAUAGGAGCUCCUGCUGCAUGGUGGGGGUUGGAAAGUUUCGGCGGUUGGGGAUGGACUCGCGGCUUAUCCGCUUGUUGGUGGGGUAGUGGCUUACCAAGGGUUUGACGGGUAGCCGGCCUGGGAGGGUGACCGGCCACAUUGGGACUGAGAUACGGACCAGACUCCUACGGGAGGCAGCAGUGGGGAGUAUUGCACAAUGGGCGGAAGCCUGAUGCGGCAACGCCGCGUGCGGGAUGACGGCCUUCGGGUUGUAAACCGCUUUCGCCUGUGACGAAGCGUGAGUGACGGUAAUGGGUAAAGAAGCACCGGCUAACUACGUG
RNAcentral lists this ribosomal RNA (468 nucleotides) under uncultured bacterium. RNAcentral's name for it is "partial 16S ribosomal RNA". It matches the Rfam family "Bacterial small subunit ribosomal RNA", at positions 28 to 507 of the family's 1533-position model. The record is from RNAcentral.